UACGGAGGGUGCGAGCGUUGUUCGGAAUCAUUGGGCGUAAAGGGCGUGUAGGUGGUCUGUUAAGUCAUGUGUGAAAGCCCUCAGCUUAACUGGGGAAGUGCGCAUGAAACUGACAGGCUAGAGUACCGAAGAGGAAGGUGGAAUUCCUGGUGUAGCGGUGAAAUGCGCAGAUAUCAGGAGGAACACCGGUGGCGAAGGCGGGUCUCUGGGCCGAUACUGACGCUGAGGAGCGAAAGCGUGGGGAGCGAACAGG
Molecule: ribosomal RNA, 253 nt
Filed under: uncultured bacterium
Lineage: Bacteria
Description: partial 16S ribosomal RNA
Rfam family: Bacterial small subunit ribosomal RNA
Source: RNAcentral